UGGGGAAUUUUGGACAAUGGGCGCAAGCCUGAUCCAGCCAUGCCGCGUGAGUGAAGAAGGCCUUCGGGUUGUAAAGCUCUUUCGGCGGGGACGAAACGGUCCGUGACAACACCACGGACUAAUGACGGUACUCGCAGAAGAAGCACCGGCUAACUACGUGCCAGCAGCCGCGGUAAUACGUAGGGUGCAGGCGUUAAUCGGAAUUACUGGGCGUAAAGCGUGCGCAGGCGGCUCCUUAAGUCAGAUGUGAAAUCCCCGGGCUUAACCUGGGAACUGCGUUUGAAACUGGGGAGCUAGAGUGUGGAAGAGGGGGGUGGAAUUCCAGGUGUAGCAGUGAAAUGCGUAGAUAUCUGGAGGAACACCGAUGGCGAAGGCGACUUCCUGGGCCAAUACUGACACUGAGGUGCGAAAGCGUGGGUAGCAAACAGGAUUAGAUACCCAAGUAGUCCCUGAGCGGGCUGGCAAGGCGCAU
RNAcentral lists this ribosomal RNA (472 nucleotides) under uncultured bacterium. Its description in RNAcentral is "bacterial SSU rRNA". It matches the Rfam family "Bacterial small subunit ribosomal RNA", at positions 355 to 825 of the family's 1533-position model. The record is from RNAcentral.